UAACUAUGAGCACCAUACCAAAAUUGUU
Molecule: small RNA, 28 nt
Filed under: Bombyx mori (domestic silkworm)
Lineage: Eukaryota; Metazoa; Arthropoda; Insecta; Lepidoptera; Bombycidae
Description: ovarian small RNA-18971
Source: RNAcentral